GGAAACUUGGCAGAGUGGCUGAAUGCAACGGUUUGCUAAACCGUCCACGAGAAAUCGUGCACAGGUUCAAAUCCUGUAGUUUCCG
RNAcentral lists this transfer RNA (85 nucleotides) under Caudoviricetes sp. Its description in RNAcentral is "tRNA-Ser". It matches the Rfam family "tRNA". Rfam says of the family: Transfer RNA (tRNA) molecules are approximately 80 nucleotides in length. Their secondary structure includes four short double-helical elements and three loops (D, anti-codon, and T loops). Further hydrogen bonds mediate the characteristic L-shaped molecular structure. tRNAs have two regions of fundamental functional importance: the anti-codon, which is responsible for specific mRNA codon recognition, and the 3' end, to which the tRNAs corresponding amino acid is attached (by aminoacyl-tRNA synthetases). tRNAs cope with the degeneracy of the genetic code in two manners: having more than one tRNA (with a specific anti-codon) for a particular amino acid; and 'wobble' base-pairing, i.e. permitting non-standard base-pairing at the 3rd anti-codon position. Lineage: Duplodnaviria; Heunggongvirae; Uroviricota; Caudoviricetes. The record is from RNAcentral.